UGACUAAUCUAAUUUCGUCAUCACCAUU
This 28-nucleotide small RNA is filed under the name Bombyx mori (domestic silkworm). RNAcentral describes it as "ovarian small RNA-31854". The record is from RNAcentral. Lineage: Eukaryota; Metazoa; Arthropoda; Insecta; Lepidoptera; Bombycidae.